GUGAAGCCCUGAUGCCCUUUGCCUCAGGAGCAGAACAGGCUAGUGCUUCGGGUGACUCAAAGUGCUGACUCAGCUGUAGCCUGCAUAAGUGGUUUAUUUGGGGUUGUUUUGUUUUGUUUUGUUUAGCCUUUGGGGUGUUUUAAAGAACAUGUUUAACAAAAAAUAAAAAAAUAAUAAAAGCUAGGGCUCCUGCUGCCAAGAUUUCUGUCAAGGAAACCUUGUUUGAGAACGAUGUUAAUAAAAUUCUAUUGCAAAAUUCUUUUCUAGAAAAAAUAAAUAACACAAAAAAAGAAGAAAUUCCAAAGUAAUAAAAACUUUUCUUGAAACAGAUUUAAAAAAAUGUUUGCUUACUAUUUGAUUAAAUAAAUUUACUUACGUUUCUUUAAGGUAUUUUAAUUUUUUUAAUGUCUCUGUGGAGUAUUUGUAUGAUACCAUAAUGUAUAUUUCUGUAGAAACAAAUUAUAUAAACAGUAUCAAUAUCAUUAUAGAAAAAUAACACUUUAAUGUAUAUUGUUCUAACCAAUCAUAUUGUGAAUCAUUUUGAAGUUCAUUAUAGCGAUAUUGAUAAAUUGUGAACUUGUCUUAAUGUUUUUUUUUAAUUAACCAAUAUUAUUUUAAACCUGAGAUUCUCACAUUCACCAGUUGGUGAGUUUUGAAGAAAAACUAAAUUUCAUUUCAACUGACAAAUGUAUAUGGUUUGAGUUCAGUGUGGAAGAAUUUUAAUACAAUAUUAAAUUACUUGAACUGAAUAGUUCCUUGUAUAUAUUUUGCCUAUUCACUGUUGAUAUGUAUGUAGUAAACAGAGAAGAGAAUAACAUUCGAAUAUGGUACCAACGGGACUUGUACAGGAGUGAAGCAUCCAGGAGCUCUGCUGACACACAAGCGGAUGUAUAUAUAAGCGUGGGCUUCCAGUUAUAAAUUUUGUAAUUUUUGUCAUUAUUUAUAUCCUAUAUUAAAAAAAAAGCACACAAAAUAAAACAGAAGUUGUACAGUGGCUGGUGCCUGGCAUUGUUCUGUGAGCACCGCCCCGGGACCAAAGGCCCAGCCCUCUCCACAGAUAAAGAGACUUGUUUUCAAUUGGCAAGAUCAGUGAGGAAAAAAAAAAAAACUUGCUCAUUUUCAAGUUCAUGGUCUGAAAAAGAAACACUGUCUUCCCGAAGCUUGAAUUUUAGCCAUAAGCCAAGAUGCCUUUGCAUUGUCUUUUUUAAAGUGGCAUAUAAGGGGGAAAUUGGCAAGACAGACAUUUCUAAAACAGAGGAGACCACACACACACACACAUGCAAAAAAAAUACAUAAAAAAUAAAAAACAGACUGCUUAUGUAGCAUAAAACAUAUAGCUUGCUUGGGCAAACAUCCCCUGAACAUCCUAUACAUCCUCAAGUCCUUUCAUCUUUUUUUCCCUAAAACGUGUACCUGCUAUAAAGUAGGUGAUGGGCUAGUCAGAGCUACACUGAUUCUGUGGUCAGCGACCAUCAUGCUGCAGGUCCCUCAACCUCCAUCACCCAUUGCCCAAUCCAUGACUGCUACCCUUGAAAACCCAAAACAGUCUUAGGGUGCUCUCUGCCUGUCAUUCAGAGGCCUGGGACUUUGAACCCAAAAGAGAUAAACCCAUGAAAGCUGGGUUGAAGUGGGCCCGGGACCUGGGAUACCUCAGGCAGGGGUUUUCCACUCUGACGCUUCCACUGGGCCAGUUUGUUCACUUUGUUUUUAUUUUCUCUGUUCAUCACAUGUGUGUUUGUAUUCAUAAUGAUUCCAGCAUGAAGUACGGAGCACACUCCAAUUAGGGAAAAUUAAAAGACACAAGACUAGCGUAGUGGUGAAACAUCUUCUUGUGCUGGCACCAGGUUGAAGAAGCAGUAAGAACAAAGCCAGCCAUGUGGCAGAGUUAGGCCCCUCCAGAUGGUAGGGUACAACAGACAAUUGUGGUUCAUCUCAGAGAGAAAGGCAGGGGUAACUCUAAUCUCACUCUCCAUUCUUCACCCAAAUCGAAGGUCGGGGCACAGGAUCAGCCCAUGGCCAGAGCAAGGCAGAGAACGAAAGGGACACGCCAGAAGCAGAAAAGCCAACUCAGGCAUGGGAGAUGGGAUUUAUAGCUGACUUUGUUUAAAGGAAAAGCCUGAUAUUUGACAAAUGCAGUAACCAGCAGUUGAGAGUGACAAGCCCUUAAAUGCUAACAUUAAUCAAAGGCAAACUUAAAUGGCUCCCUUUACAGAAGGACUUCAAUUCAAUCGAUCCGUUUAAUUUUUUUUCUUAUUAAAUGGUGUUCUGUAAUAAAUCUGGAUGGAUGGAUCCUAUAAAAAUUCUGCUCGGCUUGUUAAUAAGUCAUGGAAGUGGUUUCUCUCACAUUGAACUGCUUGGGAAUGUCGCCAGCCUAUCUAAUGUUUGGAUGAGAUGGAACAGGCGUCUAAGCUUAAAGGGCGUGUGGCCACCUCCUCCAAAAUCAGUAAACAUUUGUACUUGGACUCCAAGUAAAUGUUGCUCCUAUUUCUAAAAUGAAUUGAAGAUUUGGGGGAGUAGUCUAGUUUCCAGUGAGCUAGAAUGUAAUGUCCACGUUCAGAAAUCUGUAUAGAAUAAAGCCUCUUUACUGAC
This 2589-nucleotide long non-coding RNA is filed under the name Mus musculus (house mouse). Its description in RNAcentral is "long non-coding RNA chr10:90970710-90973299". Lineage: Eukaryota; Metazoa; Chordata; Mammalia; Rodentia; Muridae. The record is from RNAcentral.